GCCUGGGUGGCUCAGUAGAUUGAGCGUCUGACUUUAGCUCAGUUCAUGAUCUUAAAAUUUGUGGGUUUAAGCCCUGCAUCAGGCU
This 85-nucleotide transfer RNA is filed under the name Felis catus (domestic cat). It matches the Rfam family "tRNA". Rfam says of the family: Transfer RNA (tRNA) molecules are approximately 80 nucleotides in length. Their secondary structure includes four short double-helical elements and three loops (D, anti-codon, and T loops). Further hydrogen bonds mediate the characteristic L-shaped molecular structure. tRNAs have two regions of fundamental functional importance: the anti-codon, which is responsible for specific mRNA codon recognition, and the 3' end, to which the tRNAs corresponding amino acid is attached (by aminoacyl-tRNA synthetases). tRNAs cope with the degeneracy of the genetic code in two manners: having more than one tRNA (with a specific anti-codon) for a particular amino acid; and 'wobble' base-pairing, i.e. permitting non-standard base-pairing at the 3rd anti-codon position. The record is from Rfam by way of RNAcentral. RNAcentral also lists the same sequence under 2 other names. Lineage: Eukaryota; Metazoa; Chordata; Mammalia; Carnivora; Felidae.